Non-coding RNA from Mus caroli (Ryukyu mouse), 1565 nucleotides. Lineage: Eukaryota; Metazoa; Chordata; Mammalia; Rodentia; Muridae. The record is from RefSeq and is a predicted model, not a curated record.
GGCCCCUUGCCUUCGCAGGGCCGCCGCGAGGAUGCUCGGAGGGUCCGCCGCCGGGUCUGGGGAACCCAGCCUUCCAUGCCAAUCUACCACUAGCUGGAGCUGCCCCAGCCCCGCUGGUCAGGGGACCCUGGGUGAGGGCCAACUUUCCGGUUAGCAUCACCUGGGGGAGCAGGAGCGAGAGUAGGCCUCAAAAAUGACGUAAAAAGGCGCAGGCGACUUCUGUGUGCACUGUUGGGAGAGCUGUGAUUUAUCUAUCAGUGGGCUUUCCCUGCUCUCUGGCUGGUUCUCAGGGCUGGACCUCGCUCCCCGCCACCCCUCCAAUCCCCCCAGGAUUCAGUGGUCUCCUGCUGCUAUCAGAAGUGGCAUCUCAGGCCUGCCACUUGCUUUUGGAGUUGGAUGCAGAAGUGUGAUCCUGACUCUUAGCCCCUUGGAAGGCCCAGGUGAUUCCUGUGCCCCGACAAGAUUGAGAGGCGCUGCUUCAAGAGAUUACAGCUGAAUAGGAAAAGAAAAGAAAAAGUCGGAAAAUGAUAGCAGUGAAAUGUAAGAGAAAAGUGGGGGAAAAGUAGUUCAGGAGGAGCACAGAGCCCUUGCUUCCCAUUUGUGUACACCUCUGCUCUGUGGGUACACCCCAUCUCUUCCAGCUGCCAACACACACACACACACACACACACACACACACACACACACACGGAUGAGACAGAUGAGAGGCAGAGAAAGCACUCCAUUUACCCUCACGUGUUUAGUUUUCUUUAGAAGAUGCUGUUCAAAAAAUUGCUCAGGUGAAUCUCGACGCCAAAGUGGCACCUUCGCUACUGACUUCUCUCCCAGUGACUCUUUCAUCAGCUGUCGCGUCGCUGUCGCUGGAUUUUCACUUUAGGACCUGAACGCAGAGCUUACUUACUUCCCUACUGUAGAUGACACUUUUCUCUGAGGCCUCACUCAUUUCUGGAACAAUUUAUGUCGAGGAUCAAGACCAUCUCUCCAGGGUUGUUUCUUUGCCUGAAGAUAAGAGGACACAAGUGGGUGACCUUCACAUUUUUUCUCUAUGGAAUCGCCUGGUGCAGGUAGAAAAACCCAACUGCAAAAACCCAACAAAGCACACUUAAAUCAGCAAAAUGGCCAGGGACUCUGAAAUCAGUAAAUUAUAAAAUUUGAUCAAUAAGUUCUAAGAAUCAAUAACCCCUGGGUUGGCCACAAACGCUACAGACUUUAGAGAUGUAACCAUUAUUCCCCCCCCCCUUUUUUUUUUUUUUUUGAAAACGAAAUCCAAGGUUAGUCGCUGCAGAGUACAAUGAAUGUAAAAUUCAUGAUAGCGUUUUCAUUAUAUGUGGAAGAAGUGAUUAAUGAGUUCUUUAUAAUAAGAAACGGGUUUCACGGAAUAAAUCAUCUGGAAUUCUUAAGGUGCAGAGCGGGCAACAUUCAUUCGUCCCAGGAUUGAAACAGAGCUUUGGGUAUACUAAGCUGGCAUUUUAUAACUGAGCUACCCAACCUCUAAGGACAUGUCUCAUAGCACGUGUGUAUGCUUGCAUGUACAGUUCAUCAUGGGGGCCUUCAAACAGCAGGUA